This 76-nucleotide transfer RNA is filed under the name bacterium. RNAcentral's name for it is "tRNA-Thr". It matches the Rfam family "tRNA". From Rfam's summary of the family: Transfer RNA (tRNA) molecules are approximately 80 nucleotides in length. Their secondary structure includes four short double-helical elements and three loops (D, anti-codon, and T loops). Further hydrogen bonds mediate the characteristic L-shaped molecular structure. tRNAs have two regions of fundamental functional importance: the anti-codon, which is responsible for specific mRNA codon recognition, and the 3' end, to which the tRNAs corresponding amino acid is attached (by aminoacyl-tRNA synthetases). tRNAs cope with the degeneracy of the genetic code in two manners: having more than one tRNA (with a specific anti-codon) for a particular amino acid; and 'wobble' base-pairing, i.e. permitting non-standard base-pairing at the 3rd anti-codon position. The record is from RNAcentral.
GCCGCCUUAGCUCAGUUGGUAGAGCAACGCUUUUGUAAAGCGUGGGUCCGGAGUUCGAGUCUCCGAGGCGGCUCCA